AAGUAGCACUAUGGAGAUUCACACGUGGCAAAGAGCUGAGGCCUCCCACCAACAGCCACAUGAGGGAGCCAGAGUAGGAGUGGCUCCUCCAGCCCCAGUCGAACCUUCAGAUGUGACAGACUUGGCUGCUGACAGUUUGCAAUCUCAUGAGACCCUGAGCCAGAACCACCCAGCUAAAUCAGUCCUGGACUCCUGAUCAACAGAAAUGACCAAAGAGAGGCGUUUUGAACAUUAAGACGCUUUGCUGCUUCUCACCUGAAACACGUAACAGGAACACCAACCUCUUCAGCCGCGGGAAAUCUUCUUUGACACAAAACUCAAACCGAGUCAACCCAAAGUUCCAAGUUCUUUGCUUUCUCUUCUGUGUGUGUGUUGGUUUGUCCCAAAAGUCAGUUUGCAAGUUGAAACUUCAUGAAAUUACUCGUAGCAGAAAUAAAGUACAUUGUACAAAUCA
This 454-nucleotide long non-coding RNA is filed under the name Homo sapiens (human). RNAcentral's name for it is "non-protein coding lnc-SMIM24-2:4". The record is from RNAcentral. Lineage: Eukaryota; Metazoa; Chordata; Mammalia; Primates; Hominidae.